GGGUUGGCAGGAGUAGAACCUGCUGGGAAGUGCUGCUCGCUGAUUUUCAACUUGAGUGUUGAAGUUACUUUUGUACACUGGAUGUUUUUUGUAGGUUGUUGGUGUUGAACUGUUAAAAUUGUAUCAGUGCUGUUGUAAAAUGUAUACUCAGCGGAUCAAGCAAACACUGCCAGCUGUUCCUUUGGCAUUUGACCUUCCUGUGGUAGGUGCUCUGAUACCACCAGUAGGACAGGACAGCCUAUAGGAUCACCUAUGCGACUGGAAGACCGCAAAUACGAAGUGAUGAAUGAUGGGCAGCCUGAGAAGGUAAUUGUCUUUGACAUAUUUCUUGCAAUUCAACUCACUGACUUAUAAAGAAAUUAUGUAACAUAUUAUUUAUGGACUAACUAAAUGAAUAUUCUUUGGUGCGUGAGAAAGUUUCAUUUUUUUCUUUCAUCACACUGGAUCAUUCAGGGCCGGAGGGCUGCCUACAUCACUGGAGGACUUUCUAUUUCCCCUGUGUUUGAAAGUCGAAGUGAUGAAUGAUGAUCAACCUCAGACUACCUACAGCACCGGUUGAUCGCCUACAGGACCAGAAGUUUGUCCAUAUCCACUGUAUCGAGAAACAAGAAGUGUUGUAGGAAGAUCAGCCCUUGAAGAUUACCGUCACUCAUCGGACUUUUCGGCUAGAAGGCACUG
Molecule: long non-coding RNA, 678 nt
Organism: Aplysia californica (California sea hare)
Lineage: Eukaryota; Metazoa; Mollusca; Gastropoda; Aplysiida; Aplysiidae
Exons: 3
Source: RefSeq, a predicted model, not a curated record